CAUCAUCACUCUCUAAUCUCUCCUUAUUCCUUUUCUCUCUCAUGAAUUUCUUCAAAUCCGUUUUCUCCGACAAUUCAGAUCCAUUAUCGAAACCUACCGUCGCGAUUCCGAUAAUAGCACUGCCACUUCGAAUCGCCAUUCAAAUCGAUUGGAUUCAAAGUGGAAUAAUAGGUUUGAUGCUCAGUUUUGUGCAAUUCAUGGAGAAGUCUCAUCUUCAAUUCUUCUUCCUUCCUUCUGUUUGUGUUUUCUUACGACCUGGAGUAUUUUGCUUUUGGUAUGGUUUUGGGUUGCAGGUUAUUGUGUGCUGAGAAAGAAGAACACAUAAACAGCUUAUCAAUUUCUAGUCACUGCUUAUUUUCUUCUUUUUCUGGAUUGUAUAAUUGAAUGAAUUUGCAGGUUCACUUAAAUAAGAUCCCUAAAAAAAAUCUAAAAGGGUUUGUGAGAUACAUCUAAAACAGAGAGAGAAAUUCAGGUCUAAUUUGAAGAAAUUUUGGAACCAAAUUCGAAUCUAAGAAAGUUCCUUCAAGGUUAAUGGUGACUGUGAAUGUGAAUCGAACCAUAACAAUUGAAACUAAAAUUUCUGAACUCUGUGAGUGUGAAUCUAUAUUUUUCUAAAGGCAGUAUGUAACUAUUCUUGCUUUGCGUUUUUAUUCAAUUUUCAUGAGUUUAGGAUUUGGAACUAUUGUAUGUUAGUUUAGUAACUGAGAUGUUGGGCAUGAAAUAUGGUCAAUCCACAUAAUCACA
This 744-nucleotide long non-coding RNA is filed under the name Medicago truncatula (barrel medic). RNAcentral describes it as "long non-coding RNA (MTRU_LNC007748)". The record is from RNAcentral. Lineage: Eukaryota; Viridiplantae; Streptophyta; Magnoliopsida; Fabales; Fabaceae.